CAAGUCGAACGGCAGCAUGACCUAGCAAUAGGUUGAUGGCGAGUGGCGGACGGGUGAGUAACGCGUGGGGAUCUGCCCUAAAGUGGGGGACAACCCGGGGAAACUCGGGCUAAUACCGCAUAAUACUUUGCGAAGGAAAGGGUGCAUUUAUGUACUCGCUUUAGGAUGAACCUGCGUCCGAUUAGCUAGUUGGGGAGGUAAAAGCUCGCCAAGGCGAUGAUCGGUAGCUGGUCUGAGAGGAUGAUCAGCCACACUGGGACUGAGACACGGCCCAGACUCCUACGGGAGGCAGCAGUGGGGAAUAUUGGACAAUGGGGGCAACCCUGAUCCAGCAAUGCCGCGUGUGUGAAGAAGGCCUGCGGGUUGUAAAGCACUUUCGUUGGGGAGGAGAGGGUGACGGGGAAAAGCCGUCACCGGAGACGUUACCUAAAGAAGAAGCACCGGCUAACUCUGUGCCAGCAGCCGCGGUAAUACAGAGGGUGCAAGCGUUAAUCGGAAUUACUGGGCGUAAAGCGCGCGUAGGUGGUUUGUUAAGUUGGAUGUGAAAUCCCCGGGCUUAACCUGGGAAGGUCAUCCAGUACUGAUAGACUAGAGUACAGUAGAGGGAAGUGGAAUUUCCGGUGUAGCGGUGAAAUGCGUAGAUAUCGGAAGGAACACCAGUGGCGAAGGCGGCUUCCUGGCCUGAUACUGACACUGAGGCGCGAAAGCGUGGGGAGCAAACAGGAUUAGAUACCCUGGUAGUCCACGCUGUAAACGAUGAGAACUAGCCGUUGGGUCCUUAAAACGACCAAGUGGCGCAGCUAACGCGAUAAGUUCGCCGCCUGGGGACUAC
RNAcentral lists this ribosomal RNA (832 nucleotides) under uncultured Gammaproteobacteria bacterium. Its description in RNAcentral is "bacterial SSU rRNA". It matches the Rfam family "Bacterial small subunit ribosomal RNA", at positions 58 to 883 of the family's 1533-position model. Lineage: Bacteria; Pseudomonadati; Pseudomonadota; Gammaproteobacteria. The record is from RNAcentral.